CGCUGGCGGCGUGCCUAAUACAUGCAAGUCGAACGGUCUUUCUAUGGAAGCUUGCUUCCACUGAGAAGAGUAGUAGGCGAACGGGUGAGUAACACGUGGGUAACCUGCCCAUAAGAGGGGGGAUAACAUCCGGAAACGGGUGGCUAAUACCGCAUAGUUUCUUGAUCGCAUGAUCGGGAAAGGAAAGACGGCCUUUGUGCUGUCGCUUAUGGAUGGACCCGCGGCGUAUUAGUUAGUUGGUGAGGUAAUGGCUCACCAAGACGAUGAUACGUAGCCGACCUGAGAGGGUGAUCGGCCACAUUGGGACUGAGACACGGCCUAAACUCCUACGGGAGGCAGCAGUAGGGAAUCUUCCGCAAUGGACGAAAGUCUGACGGAGGCAACGCCGCGUGAGUGAAGAAGGUUUUCGGAAUCGUAAAACUCUGUUGUCAGAGAAGAACAAGUUUGGAGAGUAACUGCUCCAGCCUUGACGGUAUCUGACCUGAAAGCCACGGCUAACUACGUGCCAGCAGCAGC
Molecule: ribosomal RNA, 516 nt
Filed under: uncultured bacterium
Lineage: Bacteria
Description: bacterial SSU rRNA
Rfam family: Bacterial small subunit ribosomal RNA
Source: RNAcentral